RNAcentral lists this ribosomal RNA (610 nucleotides) under Marinovum sp. RNAcentral describes it as "bacterial SSU rRNA". It matches the Rfam family "Bacterial small subunit ribosomal RNA", at positions 38 to 692 of the family's 1533-position model. Lineage: Bacteria; Pseudomonadati; Pseudomonadota; Alphaproteobacteria; Rhodobacterales; Roseobacteraceae. The record is from RNAcentral.
GGCCGGCGCAGCCUACACAUGCAGUCGAGCGAGCUCCUUCGGAAGCUAGCGGCGGACGGGUUAGUAACGCGUGGGAACGUGCCCUUCACUGCGGAAUAGCCACUGGAAACGGUGAGUAAUACCGCAUACGCCCUUCGGGGGAAAGAUUUAUCGGUGAAGGAUCGGCCCGCGUUAGAUUAGAUAGUUGGUGGGGUAACGGCCUACCAAGUCUACGAUCUAUAGCUGGUUUUAGAGGAUGAUCAGCAACACUGGGACUGAGACACGGCCCAGACUCCUACGGGAGGCAGCAGUGGGGAAUCUUGGACAAUGGGCGCAAGCCUGAUCCAGCCAUGCCGCGUGAGUGAUGAAGGCCUUAGGGUCGUAAAGCUCUUUCGCCAGAGAUGAUAAUGACAGUAUCUGGUAAAGAAACCCCGGCUAACUCCGUGCCAGCAGCCGCGGUAAUACGGAGGGGGUUAGCGUUGUUCGGAAUUACUGGGCGUAAAGCGCACGUAGGCGGAUCAGAAAGUUGGGGGUGAAAUCCCGGGGCUCAACCCCGGAACUGCCUCCAAAACUCCUGGUCUUGAGUUCGAGAGAGGUGAGUGGAAUUCCGAGUGUAGAGGUGAAAUUCGUA